UGGGGAAUAUUGCACAAUGGAGGAAACUCUGACGCAGCAACGCCGCGUGAGUGAAGAAGGUUUUCGGAUCGUAAAGCUCUGUCUUUGGGGAAGAUAAUGACGGUACCCAAGGAGGAAGCCACGGCUAACUACGUGCCAACAGCCGCGGUAAUACGUAGGUGGCGAGCGUUAUCCGGAUUUACUGGGCGUAAAGGGAGCGUAGGCGGAUGAUUAAGUGGGAUGUGAAAUACCCGGGCUCAACUUGGGUGCUGCAUUCCAAACUGGUUAUCUAGAGUGCAGGAGAGGAGAGUGGAAUUCCUAGUGUAGCGGUGAAAUGCGUAGAGAUUAGGAAGAACACCAGUGGCGAAGGCGACUCUCUGGACUGUAACUGACGCUGAGGCUCGAAAGCGUGGGGAGCAAACA
This 402-nucleotide ribosomal RNA is filed under the name uncultured prokaryote. RNAcentral describes it as "bacterial SSU rRNA". It matches the Rfam family "Bacterial small subunit ribosomal RNA", at positions 355 to 774 of the family's 1533-position model. The record is from RNAcentral.